CAAGAUUAAAACUUAAAGGAAUUGACGGGGGCCCGCACAAGCGGUGGAGCAUGUGGUUUAAUUCGAAGCAACGCGCAGAACCUUACCAACCCUUGACAUCCCGAUCGCGGACACCAGAGAUGGAGUCCUUCAGUUCGGCUGGAUCGGAGACAGGUGCUGCAUGGCUGUCGUCGGCUCGUGUCGUGAGAUGUUGGGUUAAGUCCCGCAACGAGCGCAACCCUCGCCUUUAAUUGCCAUCAUUUAGUUGGGCACUCUAAAGGGACUGCCGGUGAUAAGCCGGAGGAAGGUGGGGAUGACGUCAAGUCCUCAUGGCCCUUACGGGUUGGGCUACACACGUGCUACAAUGGCGGUGACAAUGGGCAGCUACUUCGCAAGGAGAUGCUAAUCCCAAAAAACCGUCUCAGUUCAGAUUGCACUCUGCAACUCGGGUGCAUGAAGUUGGAAUCGCUAGUAAUCGCUAAUCAGCAGGUAGCGGUGAAUACGUUCCCGGGCCUUGUACACACCGCCCGUCACACCAUGGGAGUUGGUCUUACCUGAAGACGGUGUGCUAACCAGCAAUGGAGGCAGCCGGCCACGGUAAGGUCAGCGACUGGGGUGAAGUCGUAACAAGGUAGCCGUAAAUCACUAGUGAAUUCGCGGCCGCCUGCAGGUCGACCAUA
This 659-nucleotide ribosomal RNA is filed under the name uncultured Nordella sp. RNAcentral's name for it is "bacterial SSU rRNA". It matches the Rfam family "Bacterial small subunit ribosomal RNA", at positions 889 to 1533 of the family's 1533-position model. The record is from RNAcentral. Lineage: Bacteria; Pseudomonadati; Pseudomonadota; Alphaproteobacteria; Hyphomicrobiales.